RNAcentral lists this ribosomal RNA (460 nucleotides) under uncultured bacterium. Its description in RNAcentral is "partial 16S ribosomal RNA". It matches the Rfam family "Bacterial small subunit ribosomal RNA", at positions 338 to 795 of the family's 1533-position model. The record is from RNAcentral.
CCUACGGGGGGCUGCAGUGAGGAAUAUUGGUCAAUGGACGAGAGUCUGAACCAGCCAAGUAGCGUGAAGGAUGACUGCCCUAUGGGUUGUAAACUUCUUUUAUAUGGGAAUAAAAUGUUCCACGUGUGGGAUUUUGUAUGUACCAUAUGAAUAAGGAUCGGCUAACUCCGUGCCAGCAGCCGCGGUAAUACGGAGGAUCCGAGCGUUAUCCGGAUUUAUUGGGUUUAAAGGGAGCGUAGGUGGAUUGUUAAGUCAGGUGUGAAAGUUUGCGGCUCAACCGUAAAAUUGCAGUUGAAACUGGCAGUCUUGAGUACAGUAGAGGUGGGCGGAAUUCGUGGUGUAGCGGUGAAAUGCUUAGAUAUCACGAAGAACUCCGAUUGCGAAGGCAGUUCACUGGACUGCAACUGACACUGAGGCUCGAAAGUGUGGGUAUCAAACAGGAUUAGAUACCCGAGUAGUC